GUUUAAGCAGCCGCGGUAAUACGUAGGGUGCGAGCGUUAAUCGGAAUUACUGGGCGUAAAGCGUGCGCAGGCGGUUCGUUGUGUCUGAUGUGAAAGCCCCGGGCUCAACCUGGGAAUGGCAUUGGAAACUGGCGAGCUGGAGUGCGGCAGAGGGGGGUGGAAUUCCGCGUGUAGCAGUGAAAUGCGUAGAGAUGCGGAGGAACACCGAUGGCGAAGGCAGCCCCCUGGGCCGACACUGACGCUCAGGCACGAAAGCGUGGGGAGCAAACAGGAUUAGAAACCCUCGUAGUCC
RNAcentral lists this ribosomal RNA (292 nucleotides) under uncultured bacterium. Its description in RNAcentral is "partial 16S ribosomal RNA". It matches the Rfam family "Bacterial small subunit ribosomal RNA", at positions 505 to 796 of the family's 1533-position model. The record is from RNAcentral.